GGCAAGUUAGCUCAGCUGAUUGAGCAUGGUGCUGAUAACACCAAGGUCAUGGGUUCAAUCCCCGUUUGGUCC
RNAcentral lists this transfer RNA (72 nucleotides) under Apaloderma vittatum (bar-tailed trogon). It matches the Rfam family "tRNA". From Rfam's summary of the family: Transfer RNA (tRNA) molecules are approximately 80 nucleotides in length. Their secondary structure includes four short double-helical elements and three loops (D, anti-codon, and T loops). Lineage: Eukaryota; Metazoa; Chordata; Aves; Trogoniformes; Trogonidae. The record is from Rfam by way of RNAcentral.